CCAUAUUAGAUUGAAACACUGGUUCACAUAUGAUCACUGAAGUUAAGCAAUGUUGAGUCUGGUCAGUACUUAGAUGGGUGAUUGCUUUGGAAUACCAAGUACUGU
Acanthosepion pharaonis is the source of this 105-nucleotide non-coding RNA. NCBI's taxonomy places the organism in Eukaryota, Metazoa, Mollusca, Cephalopoda, Sepiida, Sepiidae. The record is from the annotation of a GenBank genome assembly.